Molecule: ribosomal RNA, 301 nt
Filed under: uncultured bacterium
Lineage: Bacteria
Description: partial 16S ribosomal RNA
Rfam family: Bacterial small subunit ribosomal RNA
Source: RNAcentral
CAGCCGCCGCGGGAAUACGAAGGGUGCGAGCGUUACUCGGAAUUACUGGGCGUAAAGCGUGCGUAGGUGGUGGUUUAAGUCCGUUGUGAAAGCCCUGGGUUCAACCUGGGAAUUGCAGUGGAUACUGGGUCACUAGAGUGUGGUAGAGGAUAGUGGAAUUUCCGGUGUAGCAGUGAAAUGCGUAGAGAUCGGAAGGAACAUCUGUGGCGAAGGCGACUAUCUGGGCCAACACUGACACUGAGGCACGAAAGCGUGGGGAGCAAACAGGAUUAGAUACCCGGGUAGUCCCUGUCUCUUAUAC